CUUACAGAUACUCUACUCCAAUUCAUGCAAUUCUCGAUUACGUUUACACCCGAAUAUGUGCGUAAGAGGAUAGCCCUCUUCCAGGCCCCAUUUUCCGCGUUUUUUAAUUAUUUAUUUCCGUGUAAACUGCAGUCUUAAUACAAAAUCAUUGAUGGUCGAUAAUUUAGCCCUGCGUUGAGGGCACCGGGGAGAACUGCAAAGGAUUAAAAACUCAUCCAAGAGCUCACUUUUUUAUCCAGAGACAUGGCUCGACCACGACCGCGGGAUUACACGGCAGGAGAUUUGGUUUUCGCUAAAAUGAAGGGAUACCCGCACUGGCCGGCGAGGAUUGAUGAGCUUCCAGAGGGAGCAGUCAAACCCCCUGCCAACAAGUACCCCAUCUUCUUCUUUGGUACCCACGAAACUGCAUUCUUGGGCCCGAAGGAUCUUCUACCAUACAUGGAGUAUAAAGAAAAAUUUGGCAAGUCCAACAAGAGGAAAGGCUUCAACGAGGGCCUGUGGGAGAUCGAGAACAACCCUGGAGUCAAGUUCACAGGCUAUCAGGUCAUUCACCAACAGAGUUCAUCAGAAAUAGAAGAAGGGGGGAACACUGCUGAUGGCAGCAGUGAGGGAGAGGAGGGUGACUCUGUUGAGGAGGAAGAUGACAAGGAGAAGUUGAAGGGGGACAAGACCAGAUCCAAACGGAAAAAGACAGCCACCUCCAAGAAGUCCCCCAAGCUGUCGAGGAUCUCUUCUGGAGAGGAUGACCUAAAGAAGGAUCAGAAAGAUGAUGACCAGAAGAGCGGCUCAGAGGCAGGAGACCCUGACAAUGACAUCCAAAAUACUACCGACAUGUCAGUGAUGUCUCUACAAUAAGCUGGUGCCCUCUGCCGUUGCGGCCGUGUAGCGACCCCAGACAACUAUCAGCAUGUGUCAACGAACAAGCUUCUCAUAGAAGAACAUUAAGAGAUGAAAGCCUGAAGAGGAAAUCAGUCUGUGUAGCUGUGAUGUUGGAAAGGUGAAUCUACAAAAUAAUCUCUCAUCAGCACUAUCUACUGGCUGCCAUCGUCACCUCCACUUCUUCUUGGGACUUCCAGUAUGUGUUUUGUGUGAAAGAUGCACCCAUCCUGCUAUUCAUAGCGCUCAUGUGGAUGCCAGGUUGUAACUGGCCAUUAUGUCACACUGUUUCUUCAGCACAUAAACUUGAUGCCAGUAUCUGCAUCAGAAAUCGAAGCAAGUUGUCAUCUUUAAAACUCUCAAUCACAAAUUAAAAUAGUUAAUCACUUUUAUUGAGUGACUCUGAAAGCUUGUUAGUUUAUGUUGUUGAAUAAACUAUUUCUAGGAUAUUUAAAGGGGCAUUAAGUACUUGAAGACUUUUAUUGUGUGCUAUUGGCAAACAUUAGGAGCACUGAUAACAUUAGCAGUGUUUAUACAAAGCCUUUUUUCUACUAGGAUCUGACUGAUAGCCCAAUCAGAAUAAAAUGUUUGGAAUUGUAUACUCCUUUCAUAACCUGUUCAGUGAAACUUAUUUAUUAAGUCAUUUGUGGGUAGUGUGGGUGGCUGCAAGAAUAUAAUUAAAUAUGUUGCUUCAAUAGAAAACGUUGCAGUAAAAUGUCUUCCCUUUCUUUUGCUUUAGUUCAUUUAAAAGGUCCCAUACUAUGCUUAUGUCCAAGCACCAGGGUGUCUACAAGAAUAGGUGUAAAUGCUUUAAUCUCUCAAAAAAAACAAACACACACAUUAAAUUUCUCAUGCCGUCUACCUCUGCAGUACCUCCAAUACCCCUCCUGAAAAGCCCAGUCUGUUUUGAUUUGUCAGCUUUUUAGUGGCAGGCAUCCCACUAUGUUUCAGCAUCUUCUUUGUUUGUGUUUUUGCAAACAUGGCCAUGAUGAUGGCAGUGACUGUGUAGUCAUCACAGCUCAUUCAAAGGAACAGUGUCUGAAUUUGCGCUGUGUGACUUUGUUUGGAUUGAGCAUUUUAAUCCUAUCGCAGUAUUUGUAUAGCAGCUCGACCUGCUUUAUAUUAAAAGAUGACAAACACA
RNA transcript from Acanthopagrus latus (yellowfin seabream), 2017 nucleotides. It is a transcript of the gene named HDGF like 3, with no coding region annotated. Lineage: Eukaryota; Metazoa; Chordata; Actinopteri; Spariformes; Sparidae. The transcript has 7 exons. The record is from RefSeq and is a predicted model, not a curated record.